Molecule: ribosomal RNA, 468 nt
Filed under: uncultured bacterium
Lineage: Bacteria
Description: partial 16S ribosomal RNA
Rfam family: Bacterial small subunit ribosomal RNA
Source: RNAcentral
GAUGAACGCUGGCGGCGUGCUUAACACAUGCAAGUCGAACGGUGAAGGCGGAGCUUGCUCUGCUGGAUCAGUGGCGAACGGGUGAGUAACACGUGAGCAAUCUGCCCCUGACUCUGGGAUAAGCGCUGGAAACGGCGUCUAAUACUGGAUACGAGCUGCGAAGGCAUCUUCAGCAGCUGGAAAGAACUUCGGUCAGGGAUGAGCUCGCGGCCUAUCAGCUUGUUGGUGAGGUAACGGCUCACCAAGGCGUCGGCGGGUAGCCGGCCUGAGAGGGUGACCGGCCACACUGGGACUGAGACACGGCCCAGACUCCUACGGGAGGCAGCAGUGGGGAAUAUUGCACAAUGGGCGAAAGCCUGAUGCAGCAACGCCGCGUGAGGGACGACGGCCUGCGGGUUGUAAACCUCUUUUAGCAGGGAAGAAGCGAAAGUGACGGUACCUGCAGAAAAAGCGCCGGCUAACUACGUG